UUACUAUUGUCUGUCUGUGCGUACACGUACAAAUUAGGCAUUUGUGCACAAACACUUAGGAUAAUAGAUGUUGGGUAGAAGAGCUAGUCAGCCUGGAUAAGACCACAAGAGGAAUGAUCCAGGAACACAAGAGCCAGAAACACUUUAAGCGGUCAAGAGCAUCUCAGCUGAAAAACACCUAAAUAACAUCAUCAAGCGCGAGGACAGGAACUAAUUGUGUUCUGCAUUGCGAUAUAUCAAGCCUCAUUACUUCAGGUCGUUGUUCUUCAUCUUCCAGCGCUCCGGAUAAGUCCACAAAAAAGGUUCUAUAUCCACUUUAAUCUCAACAUACAAUGACAAUGCAGUCCACAGAAGAUCCCAUGUCCUCUACUAUCCAUGAGCAAGACUUCAACAUUUCACUUGCGACAACUAGUUUGCCUGCAACUGGUGCCUCCGAGAUCAGCUGCUUUAUUGACGCCCAGCUAGCAUUUAUAGCGACUGCCACUGCUGGUGGCAUCAUCCUUAUCCUUCUAACCUCCACCAUAGUCUUGGCAUGUACCGUCUCCAGCCUGAAACGCCGCCACCGGACCCCUCGUCCAUCCCGAAGCAAUGCCGACCUAGUGAGUGGAACAGGCUAUUGGGGUAACGAGAGAAGAGAGGGAGGAAUUGUGGGCCCAUGCGAAACCAGUGUUCUACUGGAGGACGUAAAGACCGAUGGUGAGGAGGAAGAGGUCCAAGAUGGCGCAGCAGGGCCAAGCCAGUACAUCAACACUUCUAACGCACCCGCUGACUUGGAGAGUGUCCCGACAGCCAUGCAGAGCUCAACCUCUAGGGAUUCCUGCAUAGAUCCCAUUAGUUUAGAAAACGUGCCUCUGAUGGUGUAAAGUAAAAGAGCUUUUUUUGUACGCUGGGGUAUGACAGGCACAUUUUCUACAUUUUAUUUCUCUUUUGUUUUUUAAAUAAAUGGCUUCAAUAGUUCAGCUACUGCAGUAAAAAAAAAGUGCAGUUACAAGUCGUCUCAUAGCAUUUUUGAGAAUUGUUUAACCAACUACGAUUAUCUGCUUAUCCUGUUAAAAAGGACAUUUUAUAUUGGUAAUAUUAGAUGAAAUAGAAAACUUUGACUUUUUUAACAGAUGAGGUCAAAGCAGCUCUGGAGAUCUGUUUAGUGAAGAUGACAAGGGAAAUAAGUAAAUAAAAUGUUGGUGUAUUAUUGUAUAUAUUGUGAAAUUGUAUUUAACCUCAGCUUUGUGUUACACUUUGGCCCUUUUUUAAAAUAUGACCAACAGCCGCAGCAGCAUCUACUGUAGAUAAAACCCAAAUAGUUGAACUCUAUACACCACUGUGUAUAAAUAGCAAAACAAGUCAAUUGUAGGGUUUAAUUUCUAUGCCAUUGCAGUCACCAAAGUUCAGUGAAGUGCAAAAAUAAUGACUUUUUGAAACAUUUAUCUGCCAUUGGUCAGUCAAACAGUUUGGAUCAAUCAACCUAUGAAUAAACGACUGGCAGAUGACUCUACAUGUAAAGCAGUUACUGUAGAAAUCACACACUUCAGCUUUAAAAUAAGCAAAGCAAUACCAUUAAAUCCUAUAAUAAUGAGCAUUCUUUAAGUUUCUCUCAGAACUCUGACAUC
Rhinichthys klamathensis goyatoka is the source of this 1607-nucleotide long non-coding RNA. RefSeq lists it as uncharacterized. Lineage: Eukaryota; Metazoa; Chordata; Actinopteri; Cypriniformes; Leuciscidae. The record is from RefSeq and is a predicted model, not a curated record. The transcript is spliced from 3 exons.